GGCAUGAGCCACCAUGCCCGGCCCAGGGUUAAUCUUAUUUUGUAUAUUCUUUACACGCAAUCCCAUUUUCAGUUGUUUGUUUAGCAGUAUUGUACCUAUAAUCAAGGUUUUUAAGUAUGGUUAGUUACAACAGGAUUGAAGAAUAUGAGUUUGCUCAUUUGCUUUAUUUAUUUUCUAUCACCAUGUAUUUCCCAUGCAUAACACACAAGAAAUUGUCUAGAAAAGACAAAGUACAACAGUAUACUACUAUUAACACUGUUAGCAUGUACACGGUCAGUGAAAAAGCAUACCUAUUAGCCCUUUCUCCCUGGUGUUGGCAUUUAUUCUACUGCUCAUUGUAAGUGGUGAUUUAGGGUCUGUGUGGGGAAUAUCAAGAAGUCUCUAAAUUUGAUAGUCCCCAGUAUUCAAAACCUUUCCUGAGAAUUGACAUACUAAUUUAUACAGCACUGGAUUCGUUGAAUUAAUCUUAGAUUUACAUCAGUUUCUCCUGUGUCAGCCUCUUUCAGGACUCCCUCUACUGGAACACAAUUUGUAGCUGUAAAUUGCAGCUUGUAAUUAGUAUAUUAUGGCCUGUUGAGUAAUACUUUUAAAAAUACCACAUUUUUGUUUUUCAAACAGCAUUUGAAUUCUUCCUCAGUGCAAAUGAAAUGUAAAAUCUUGUUUGAUCAAAAAAUGCAAUGUUGAGAUCAGUGUCAACAAAGAAUGUCAUUUAAGAGAGAAUUUGUAAAGUACGAAGAUGACCACUCUGAAAGCCACAUGCCCCUGGCACCCUCUGAAGCACCUCAGUCCUCUCCUGACUCUUUAAAUGAUUCAUUCUGCCAUUUGCAUGAUUCCUCUGAAGAAAACCAAUUACUUAGUGUUCUUGAGGUGAUUGACUUGCAAAUAAUCUUGUGCUCUUAAAGCACAUUUUUGGUAAAUUUUCAAAUUUCUGAAAACUAGAAAUUAUUUCUUUAGUUGUAAUUGAGUGAGAUCAGAUAUUCACAGAUUAAUAGACUCUCAAAACCAGUAGGUGCUGCCUUCAUACCAAAGGUUUUACCAUGCUAGGAUAAACAUUCAUCUUCAAUUUUUUUGUUGUUAAAAAGCAUACUUCACAAGCAAUUUAUUAUCCCAGUCAUUUUAUCACAUACCUCUUCUGGAGCUUAGGGUCCCAGCCCCUUCUUGUCUCUUCUUUUGUGUCUCCCCACUUAUACCCCCACCACACUUUGGUGUUUUUGAGGUUUCUUAAUCUUAUGUAAAAUGUGCAUAAAAAGCAUUUUUAGAAAGCCUUGCCAUGUUUAUUGAUCUGUAACAUACAAUAUACAUAGUGUGCUUGCUGUAUUAACACAGCUCCAAGACAAGACCCCUAGCUUUCCUACAGCUCUACUAACUCCCCCAAAUCCCACUUCUGUAGAACUUUGGAGCUGUGGCACCUGUUGAGGUAAUGGUUACUUUCCUCAAAAGGUUGCCAUUACGAUGAUUGACUUCAAAAAGUAUAAAAAAAGUCUUUUGAAAAAUUGACAGUUCUCCCCACAAAGAGUUGAGUGAUUAGUCAGCUGCAAUUUCUUCUAACUUGUAGUUCCUUCUAAUAUAUGAUGUUGAGGUUUUAGAGAGAGCAAUUAAAAUAAAGUGGUCUAAUUAAA
Molecule: non-coding RNA, 1619 nt
Organism: Macaca mulatta (Rhesus monkey)
Lineage: Eukaryota; Metazoa; Chordata; Mammalia; Primates; Cercopithecidae
Source: RefSeq, a predicted model, not a curated record